This is a non-coding RNA of Lactuca sativa (garden lettuce), 7209 nucleotides long. Lineage: Eukaryota; Viridiplantae; Streptophyta; Magnoliopsida; Asterales; Asteraceae. The record is from RefSeq and is a predicted model, not a curated record.
GUUGGAAGUGGGAAGUUGAAAAGGUUGGGUCGGUGGUGUAUCGACGCUUUAUAUUAUCCCCUUCUUCGCUCUUCCAUUCUUCACUCCUCCGACUCUUCUCCAAACUGCCGGAGACUCAUCCCGAUCUCUGUAACUCUGUUUCCCUGAGACCCAAGUAACUACCCCAUCCUUCGUCGGACACUCACAACCAUGUCUGCAAUCCAAAGAAAUUAUCAAGGUCCUCUGUAAGUUUUCAUUCUUAUCAUUUUUCUCUUCUGCCUUUUAUUUUAGUUCUCUAGGGUUUUUCUCUAAUUGAAGAUGUUGAAAUUUCCUCUGUAUGUAUAGCUAAGAAAAAAAAAUCCAAGCUGUUUUUUUUUUAGUUUUCUUUCUUCUGAUUGGGGUUUCUACUAUUACCCGGUCUCUUUCAUGGUCUUUCCGUUGGCGGGUUAAAAUCUGUUUUUCUAACUGCACAAGUUGUAUUGCAACAUAAAAACAGAAGGAAACUACAUAGUUUUUCUGUAGUUUUGUUGGGGUUUUCUUCUCUUAUCUUUUUAAUAGGUUUUCUGUUUUCUGUAAAUUCUUGAUUAAGCGUGUCUGGAAGGCUUAUUUCAGAAUAUGUUUAUGUGGUUUUGUUGAUCAUUCGAUCAUGUAUUGUGUGUUUGGAUGGUUUUUUGUUGGUCGUUUGAGAAUGCAUUUCAGAUUCUGUCAGCAUUCUUAUGAAUAACCAAAACCAAUUUUCAUAUCACGAUGCUCUAAUCAAAUCUCUUUUGUGGGUGUGUGAGCAUGGAAGACUCCAUCACCUAAUGUUGAUUAUGUUUCCUAUUUCUCGUCCACUGAUUUGAAUAUACUAAUAAGAUGAUAACUUUGGUCAAAAUCUGGGAUGUAAGAUCAUCAACAAGCCAAAGAAACAGCAAUACCAGAAGGUAUCUAAGCCCUAAGAACCCAAGAUUCUUGCACAAAUGUUCAACCUCCAUCUCUUCAAUUAAAUGCCUGGUAAAUCAGUUGAAGCUCAGACAUCAAAAUUGAACUAGCAACUUGGUUAGGUUGAGAUAGACUUUAACUUGUAUCCAAAUGAAGUUCAGGAAAUGCUUCAUUGAAGAGGAUCUACUUUUCCUCUACACAUGCUCAUAUCAGUUUUUCUCUCAAAUAUUCUGAUUUGUUAAACGUGCAGACCCCUGAGAUUCUUCAGUUGUCAAAGAAGAAGAUUAAGGAGAAGCUAAAAGAAGUUGAUCAAAAUGGGUAAGCAUUCCCUCCUCUUUUACUUCUAUUGUGGAGGAGUCUGGGAGUUUCCUGCUACAGUUUAACAUGUCCUUUUUAUCAGGAUCAACAUGGACUGAUUGCUUCUUCUGUUUCCCAUGACUUCAGAUCCAAUUCAAAAGGCAAGUAAAUUUACACUUGUACAACAACAAACUACAAUUCUUCUAAUAAAAAUUAUCACACGUUUAUGGGAAUUCGGAUACGAUAAAACAAAAAUGUUUGGAAAUUGUUCAACCUUUGAAGUUAGACACUGAAGACUGCAUGGAAAACUCCUUGAGCACUUAUUUAGUACACCUGGGGAAAAUAAAGGGCAAAUGGUGUGGUUCAAAUGUAAAAAACAAGUCAAUAUAGAGAGGUCGUCUAAGGAAGCAUAACAAGUUUGUAAAGAGGUGAAUAUAUAGUUUGAGGCUGCAUAUAACCAAGUGGCUAUUUCUUUUAGAUUGAGGUUGCAUGUUUGUGAGGCACUUACAUUAAUGGGAAAUGAAUCAAAAGAAGCAGAUGUUGCAUCUAUGAUCAAAACAGUGAGCCAUAAUUCUUCAUUUAAAAAACUUGUGGAAUUUUGUUGACCUUAAACUCAUUACAGGUUGUGUGUUUGUGAGGCACUUACAUCUAUGAUCUUUUACCUCUCAGUUUUGUAGGUCAUGUAGCCUUUAAUCAAUUUGUAUAGUAGUUACAGGUGAAUGGCAUUCCUCCUGGAUUUAUUUCAACUCAUAAUAACAGACUUAAACAUCUCUCUCCAAUAACAUGAUUAAUAUUUCAUGAUUUCUGCCAUUUGCUUAUUGAUUUCUUUGCCAUAUGAACUGUUGGUUUUUUUAGGUGUUUGGUUAUGCAGUGUUGUCAUGACUGCAGUGAAGUCAUCUGGUGGUCUAAGAGAUACUUUUUAACAAAAUGAAAGACAAACAUGGCCAUCACUAUUGUCUUCUGAUGUCAUGGAAUUUCUUAAAGUCUUAAGAUGGAGCAAGGUGAGGAAAUUAGUUUAAGUGGGAUCUGAAUGCCACCUACUGAAGGGAAAGGUUUGUAGGUGGUGCUCCAAGACAUUCCUGUUAUCUGGUUUCAUCAGAAGAAGAGUCUAAUGUACAUGUAGUGUUAUUUUGAUAUACAUACAUACAUACAUACAUACAUACAAGUUAACGAGUUUAAUAGUUAAGAAACUGGAUUUUUGGAGAAAAUAUGCAACCUAUAACCAAUAUAUGAAACAUUUUAGGAUUGAUUAUAACAUUGUCGUCUUAAAACAUGAAACAUUGUUAAAAUGUGAAUAUGUUCUCUUUGCAAUCGGAGCAAUUCUGAUAACUGGUCUAAAUGUUCACUUGGUUUUUUGUUGGCAUCUAAUACAAAGAAAAUAUAAACUUAUAGGGAUUUUGAUGGUCUAUGAAGGCUUUGCUAUUUUAACAACUUAUAGUCAAUAUUGCUUAUUAUAAAGAUUGUUAUUAUGAAAGUUGUUUUUACCUCUUAAUGCUUUAAAAUGUGUCUGAAUAUGUUAGAGAUAAAGAUAUGCAGCUGAAAAUCAACCAAAACUUACAAUGAGGAUGGCCAAGUGAGCAAUCUUGAAUCAUUCUUGUUUAUGUAUUUCCAGAAAUACCCUUUUGUUUUUAAAAUGUGUGCUUAUUUUUUUGUUAUCUUCAGGAAAUUAUGUGUUUUUAUAAUAAAAAAGAUGUUGAAUACUGCAUGGAAAACUCCUUGAGCACUUAUUUAGUUCACCUGGUAAUUAUUUACAAAAGAUAUUUUGUUAUUUAGCCAACUCUUUAUGUAAAAAACAAGUGGUCAAUAUAGAGAAGUAAUAAUCAUUUGUCUUUUGUGCAUAAAAAUAUUUUUUAUAUAUGAGAAUUUUGUUAAAAACUUCAAUUUUUGCAGGAAUCACUUCAUUCAGCCGUGAUUCUUGAAUAAAAAGCAUCUAUGUUAUUGUUACCCUUUAUUUUAGCCAAACCAAUUAUGGUGAGAAAGUAUGGAUUUACGCCUCGUUCCCGAGUUUAACAAAAGAAAAGAAGAGAAGAGAAAAGAAAGUCAUGAGAGAAAAGAAGAGAAAGGAAAUGAAAACAAAAUUUUCUUUUGUGUUCCCGAGUUGGAGAGAAGUGGAAGGAAAAUGAAUAAUUUUGUUCUUUCUUUCCAAAUCCUCCCAAAUCGGAAGGAAAGUUAGGAGAGAAAGUGAUCCUCCCAUUUCCCUCCACUUCCUUCCACUUCUCUCCUUUAAUGAAACUCGGGAACACAAAUUUCUUAUAUUUUAUUCUUAUUUCCACCCAUUUCCUUUCCUUUCUCUCGUUAAGUUGCACUCGGGAACGGGGUGUUAAUCUCAUUCUUUCUGGUGAUUUGUACAAGAAAUACGAUCAGGUAUUGUAACUUCUGUUAAUAAUUUAAAAGUGUAUUUUACUCUUUAUUCUAAGUUUGUGUGCUUUAUAUUCUUCUGACAAGUUGCGCCUUUUUUUUAGCAGAUGAAACAUGCGUGUGCAUAAAGAAACACACUUUUUUCCUUUAAAGUUUAAAAGAACAACAUGGAGUCAUAUUCAGGAACAUGUCCAUUUUCAUAUAGGACAAUAAGCUCUAAAUAUAAUACGCUGAAAUGGUUGAAAAUUACAUUAUUACCCUCAUUGGACAUAGGUGGUAGGCUUGUAGGAAUCAAUUUCAAAGCCAAGCAAUGCUGAUGAAUGCGUACUCUGAUCGAUUGACACGGGGUUUAAUAUAAUAAAUAGUCUAAUUGAAAAAUCAAAAGGUGAAACACAUCACCUCUGCUCAAUGGCGCAACAAAACCAAACAGUCGGUGAGUUUUUCACUGGUAACUCUCUCUCACUCUCUAAAACGCAUAUAAUAGAAUUCGCUAAACCCUUAAAAGUUUCAUUUGGUUUAUUAAAUCUUGGAUUCAUUGUGUGUAAGCAUCUAUGUAAAAUACGUUUCACACAUAUAAAAGUAUUUAUUAAAUCUUGGCAUUUCAAAUUUUGGGGAUUAUGUUCUGAAGGGACUUUCACGAAGGUUAGGAUUUGAAUCAUCAAAUCGAGAGACAGUUGUACAUUUUUUUUAUCAACUCUAGAUUUCAUAUUCAUUCAUAUACACAUUUGUUUUGCUCUCAUUUCAUCACCAUAGUUACUGAUUUUUUUUACUGUGGUAGUUGUAGAACAAGGGCACAGUGUCGUUCUUCCAGAGAAAGGGGAAUAUUUUGCUCUAAAUUUCUACCCGUCUAAGUUGACUAUAUUAUACUUUCUUCACUUAAGUUGUAUAUAUUUGAAAAAAAAAUACAUCAACCAUUUGCUUCCACUAUAGGGGUAUGCAUCUGAAACCUUCUGAGAUUAUAAGUACUUGAUGGAGGUAUUGGAGAGUGUGUUAAUUAAGUAGUGUAUGGUUAUUAUAUAAAGGAGGAUUGGAUACAAGUAGUUUAUCUGCAUUUUUUUGGUUAAUUAUGCAAUGCAACCUUGCCUAAAGAAGCAGAACAAGUUUGUUUACCUUGUAAUAAAUUGCGACUGCAUAUAAUGUAAGUGGCUAUUUCGUCUAAUAUGUGUCCUGUUUUUAUACAAACUAUGUAGAUAUCAAUGAGGUGUUCCUCAGGAUUAUGCACAACACUCAGCUGAAAAAGUUUAUGAAUGUAUACAGUGAUAAAAGGAGCAAACUCCUUAAUUUGGUAAAUUCCUUAACAAUGUGUAACUACUCUUUUUUCAUUGUCUAAUUAUCUCUUGAAAAAUAAAAUAAAAAAGCUUAUGGUAUGUACAGACUUUUGUAUUUAUUUUACCUUCAUGAGAUGUAUACUUUUUUGUGGAUGCAGCUUAAGAUGAAAUUGAUUUAAUGCUGAUAAUGCACAGGUCGUCUAAAAACUAGUUUAUAUGGUACUUUUGAUGUGAAGUUGCAAGAUUUACAUAUAGGUUGAAGAGUUGAAUGGUUAUUAUAUACACAACAAACUAAAUAUGCAACCUAUAACCAAUUUAUGCAAUAUUUUAGGAUUGUUAAAUGAGAAUCAGAUCUCUUUGCAAUCGGAGCAAAUCUGAUAAGUGUUCCAAAUCUUCACUUUGAUUUUGAUUGCAUCCAUUACAAUGAAAAUAUAAAUGUAUAAGGCUUUGUUGUUUUAACAAGUUAUAACACUCUUAAGUCAAUGUUGCUUAUUAUAAAGAUUGUUAUUACGAAAGCUGAAUUAACAAUGUGUCUGAAUAUGUUUGAGAUAAAGAUAUGGUGUGAAGUUGCAGCUGAAAAUUAACCAAAACUUACAAUGAAGAAUCCUUAAAUACCCCUCUGUUUAGUAUUUCUGGUAAUUCUUUACAAAAGAUAUUUGUUAUUUAGUCAAUUUUUAUAUUUAUUUAAAAAGUGUACUUUUUUAUUUAAUAAGUUGGGAGUUGGGACAUCAGGGAAAGGAAAUGCCACAUGGUGAAUGAGGUAAUAAUCAAUCGGUCAAUAUAAUGAAUGAGGUAAUAAUCAAUUCUCUUUUGUGAAUAAAAGUAUUAAUUACAUAUAUGAGAAUUUUUGGUAAAUAACUUCAAUUUUUUAGCUGGACUCUCUUCAUUCAGAUGUAUUGAUUGAACAUGCAUUUUAUUAUUACCUUUUAUUUUAGCCAAACCAAAUAUGUUAAGAAAGUAUGGAUUUCAUGUCAUUCACUGUAUUAUACUUUCUUCACUGAAAUUGUAUAUAUUUGGAAAAAAAAUACAUCAACCAUUUGCUUCUGCUUAAGGUAUGCAUCUGAGUAUUUGAUGGAGGUAUUGGAGAGUGUGUUAAUUAAGUAGUGUAUGGUUAUUAAUUAUAUAAGGAGGAUUGGAUACUAGUAGUUUGUUUAUCUGCAUUUGCUUUAUAAGAUACAAAUAAAUAUUCAGAAGCAGGUUAGCCAAUUAAGUAUUAGUUUUUUGUGUUAAUAAUAGCCAAGGCAUGUAUGUGACUGUUGUUGUAUACUAAUUUCUCCUUGUUAAGUUGAAUUGUAUAACAUUGCAUCAGGAAUCCUGUGUUGGAAUUGUCCCUUGGUUUUAUCCCCUAUUUGUAAUCUUGCAGGUUCAGAUGCUAUUGUGAAUCACUUUUCUACAUAAGCCACAUUUUUUGUGCCACAGAUAUUGCUUAGUGUAAGUUUCACACUUUAAAACUUUUAAAUAAAUGCUUAAAUUUGUGAUUAGUUGCUGAUAGUGGCAUGCAUGAUGUGAUGGUUAAUCUUUUCUUAUCAAUUAAUUGCACUGAUAAGAUUCUUUACUGAUAUUGACUGUUAGUUGAUAUAUAGGUGGUUGGAGGGUUAGCUGAGCUAAUGCCAUGUGCAAUUUAGUGUUUGACUUUCGCUAACUCUGUCUUGUUAUCAUGAAAACAGACUGAUGAGUUUCUGAUUUGAGUCGGUAAGGCUUAGUGAAGUCAUUUGGUGGUCUAAGAGAAAGACUAUUUAAUAAUGCAAAGAGACAAGCAUUACUUAAAGUUAAAGGUAGCAAUUUACAAAGUUUUCUUCACAACUUUUAUGUUUUUUCCAUACUUUAAAGAUUAUAUAUAAAAUGUCUGAUAGUAUAUCAUUCAGACAAGAAUACAUCUCCUGAUAUCGUUGAUUUUCUGAAAGUGCAAGUUAUUUUUAGGGCUAAAUGCAAUAAACAACAACUUACUUUCCUUUGUUUGUGUUUUAUAGCAUCCUAUUUCCGUUUCUUUCUAUUAUAGUAUUGUACUUUCAACUUUUUUUUUCUGUAAAAUCUGAUUUUCUAACUGCACUAGUUGUAUUGCAACUUAAAAACAGAAGGAAAUUACAUAGUUUUUUUUGUAGUUAUGUUGAUCUUUUCCCUUAUCUUUUUUUUUGGGUUAUUUUCCUGGUAGGUUUGUUUUAGAGUGUGUUUUUGUUGAUACUUUGAUAUUUUUUUGUGUGUGGGUAAGCGAUCCGUCACUUAACUUUUUACUUGUUUCUCUUCCAUUGAUUUUCAUUUUACUAAGAAGAAAAAGGUAGUCCCACUCCCAUCAAGUGUAUUUUAGUAUUUUAUUUGCAUCUGUUUACCAUGCAUGUUUAAAAUAUUUUCAAGGAAGAAUAAUUAAUAUAAUGUCUGUUGUUAGCAA